Molecule: long non-coding RNA, 274 nt
Filed under: Elaeis guineensis (African oil palm)
Lineage: Eukaryota; Viridiplantae; Streptophyta; Magnoliopsida; Arecales; Arecaceae
Description: long non-coding RNA (EGUI_LNC043470)
Source: RNAcentral
CAAUCGAACUCGGGACAUUCACAGGAUCCGAGGUAUGGAGAUUUGAUCUCUACCUUAUUUUUGGCUAAUGAUUGUUUUUCUUUCUCAGAUUUCAUAUCGUGGUUACUUGUUCAUAUCUAGAUCCUUACUAUGAUUUUUAGAUUAGAUCUGGUAUGUAUAUAAAUUAAAAUUAUUUUAAUUUAUUUAUUUUUACUUAGGGCUGGAAGUGGGCUCGGACCAGCCUGAGGCCCAUCGGGUUGGGCCAGCUUUAGAUUGGGCUUUGAGCUUGGCCUGA